Molecule: ribosomal RNA, 274 nt
Filed under: uncultured bacterium
Lineage: Bacteria
Description: partial 16S ribosomal RNA
Rfam family: Bacterial small subunit ribosomal RNA
Source: RNAcentral
AUACGGAGGGUCCGAGCGUUAUCCGGAAUCAUUGGGUUUAAAGGGUCCGUAGGCGGGAAUCUAAGUCAGUGGUGAAAUCUUGCAGCUCAACUGUAAAAUUGCCAUUGAUACUGGAUUUCUUGAAUUAGUGUGAAGUGGUUAGAAUGUGUAGUGUAGCGGUGAAAUGCAUAGAUAUGACAUAGAACACCAAUUGCGAAGGCAGCUGGCUAGACCUUUAUUGACACUGAGGCACGAAAGCGUGGGGAGCGAACAGAAUUAGAAACCCCGGUAGUCC